AUUGAACGCUGGCGGCAGGCCUAACACAUGCAAGUCGAGCGGUAACACAGGGAGCUUGCUCCUGGGUGACGAGCGGCGGACGGGUGAGUAAUGUCUGGGAGACUGCCUGAUGGAGGGGGAUAACUACUGGAAACGGUAGCUAAUACCGCAUAACGUCGCAAGACCAAAGAGGGGGACCUUCGGGCCUCGUGCCAUCAGAUGUGCCCAGAUGGGAUGAGCUAGUAGGUGGUGUAACGGCUCACCUAGGCGACGAUCCCUAUAUGGUCUGAGAGGAUGACCAGCCAGACUGGAGCUGAGACACGGUCAAGACUCCUACGGGAGGGAGCAGUGGGGAAUAUUGCACAAUGGGCGCAAGCCUGACUCAGCCAUACCGCGUGUAUGAAGAAGGCCUUCGGGUUGUAAAGUACUUUCAGCGGGGAGGAAGGCGACAAGGUUAAUAACCUUGUCGAUUGACGUUACCCGCAGAAGAAGCACCGGCUAACUCCGUGCCAGCAGCCGCGGUAA
RNAcentral lists this ribosomal RNA (504 nucleotides) under uncultured bacterium. RNAcentral's name for it is "partial 16S ribosomal RNA". It matches the Rfam family "Bacterial small subunit ribosomal RNA", at positions 29 to 523 of the family's 1533-position model. The record is from RNAcentral.